GUUUGUUUUUGAUUUCAAGGUAUGCUGAAAGCGUGGGUUGGGAUGGUUUUAAGGAUGCUAUUUUAAAUCAAUAACUUUUUUCCUAAACUGUUAUUAUCAAUUAAUAUUUAAAUUGAUUUGCAGCAAUUCCAGGUGUCCGAGAUGGCUUAGGGGGAGGAGCAACAGUGUAUAUUAAAAACACAUUAAAGUGUCGUGAAGUGGAUAAAUCAAAAUCUCAUGAAAGUGUUAACUGGGUUUGCGUAAACAUUGGCGACUCUAAUUUAAAGGAAUUGACCGAGCUGAUCCAGAAAUCAAAAAAUGAAGCUCAAUGCUCUAAUGUACUUAGGAUAAGGGAAAAUAAUUCUUGGAUCAAUGAGGAGGUGCUAGAAAUGAUGAAAAUAUAUUUAUAUUAUAUAUAAUGUUUUUAAAUGAAAGAAGUUAAUGGAGUUUGAAAAAUGUAAACACAUGUAUAAAAUUAUAAACAAAAAAAUAAAAUGUAAUAUAACUGUUAUAUUCUCAAAUGACGUUCAUAGACACAAUACCAGAGGUCAGUUGUAGUAGAUCAGUCAAUGUACUCUGCAUGUAAAGCAUGUUAUAGGCUACCUAAUAAUUUGAGAAAUAUUCAAAAUUUUAAAACUUUUGUAAUAAAACUAAAAAAAUACUUUUCUAUUUAAUCGGAUUAAUUGUGUAGCUACUUUUUCUAAAAUUUAUUUAUAGUAAUCUACAUACAAUUUAUUUGUAUAUACCUAACUAUGAUUUUUGUGUACACUCUUUUUAAUUGUUAUUCUUAUUUCUCGAGGCCAGCACUGUUUAGAGAUUUAGUGUAAAAAAUUGUAUGUUAUAUUUUGAAGUAAUACAAAAGUGUU
Long non-coding RNA from Anthonomus grandis grandis, 845 nucleotides. RefSeq lists it as uncharacterized. NCBI's taxonomy places the organism in Eukaryota, Metazoa, Arthropoda, Insecta, Coleoptera, Curculionidae. The transcript has 3 exons. The record is from RefSeq and is a predicted model, not a curated record.